AAGUCCUAACCAGCUAACCCCAAAUACCAAAAUCCCCAAAUCCCCCUACCGUACGAGCCAUCUGUGAUCUGUUAGUGGGAGUUGUUUCUGCUGUUGUUUACUUGUUAUGGUAUGGGUUUUGACUUCUCUCGCCGUCCUGCGACUCUCGCCUAAGCUUGGAGGCAAUCGGCAAUCAGCAAUAGGCAAUCGCCUAACCCCCAGAUCCCCAAAUCCCCCAUCGCCGCUUGAGCCAUCUGUUCUUUUGUAGCACUACAGUUGUUCUGGUCUGGGUUAUGGUCCUUAUGGACUUAUCUCGCUGUCUCACCUAAGGUUGGAGCCAAUCGAUAAUCGACAAUCGCCUAAUCCCCAGAUUUCCAAUCCGCCCGAGCCAUCUGGCGGUCUCAAUUUGCUUCCUGACUAUAAAGCUUUUCAACUUCUCGGUUUCAUCUCUCAGUUCUCACUCCCUAUUCGGCAUCCGGCCAUGGGCAUUUGGCUAUCGGCAUCGACACAUCACCUCUGGUAUAAGUUUUACCACACCACCACUUUUGCGGUCUUGCCUAGUGCUCUGAGUUUUCUCCUACUUGACCCACUCGAGACUCGAUCAAUCUUCGGCAGUACAGUUAGAAAAUGUGAAGACAAAGUUGUACGAGCUCUUUGAACAAUAUGCAAGCAACACUGGUGCAUCAGGUACAUUUUCUCACUCAACGAGUAAUUUGCCUAAGCAAGCCGGAGGAGGAACUAAACCCAAGGGAUUAAAGAUCUUUAGUAUGAUGAUUCAGAGUUGGAGACAUCAUUGCUGUCCAAAUAAGACUCAAAUGUUUUGAUUGAGGAUGAAGAUUGAGAAGAAUAUAAAUUAGUUUUAAAAUUUAUAAAUAUUUGAUUAUAUACUUAUGUUACAUGCUAAUGGGAUUGUAGUUUGUGUAUUUAUGUUAAAGAUUGAAAUUUUAUUUAUAUUUGAUGUAGUGUAUUUGCUUA
Molecule: RNA transcript, 954 nt
Organism: Theobroma cacao (cacao)
Lineage: Eukaryota; Viridiplantae; Streptophyta; Magnoliopsida; Malvales; Malvaceae
Gene name: zinc finger BED domain-containing protein RICESLEEPER 4-like
Source: RefSeq, a predicted model, not a curated record